AGAGUUUGAUCAUGGCUCAGAACGAACGCUGGCGGCAGGCCUAACACAUGCAAGUCGAACGCUCUUUUCGGAGAGAGUGGCGCACGGGUGAGUAACGCGUGGGAAUCUACCCUUUGGUUCGGAAUAACCCUGGGAAACUAGGGCUAACACCGGAUAAGCCCCGAGAGGGGGAAAGUUUACGCCGAAGGAGGAGCCCGCGUCCGAUUAGCUAGUUGGUGAGGUAAGAGCUCACCAAGGCUACGAUCGGUAGCUGGUCUGAGAGGACGAUCAGCCACACUGGGACUGAGACACGGCCCAGACUCCUACGGGAGGCAGCAGUGGGGAAUAUUGGACAAUGGGCGCAAGCCUGAUCCAGCCAUGCCGCGUGAGUGAUGAAGGCCUUCGGGUUGUAAAGCUCUUUUGGCGGGGACGAUGAUGACGGUACCCGCAGAAUAAGCCCCGGCAAACUUCGUGCCAGCAGCCGCGGUAAGACGAAGGGGGCAAGCGUUGUUCGGAAUUACUGGGCGUAAAGGGCGCGUAGGCGGCUCUUUUAGUCAGGCGUGAAAGCCCUGGGCUCAACCUGGGAGUGGCGCUUGAUACUGGAGGGCUAGAGAGUGGGAGAGGUUGGUGGAAUUCCCAGUGUAGAGGUGAAAUUCGUAGAUAUUGGGAAGAACACCGGUGGCGAAGGCGGCCAACUGGACCAUUUCUGACGCUGAGACGCGAAAGCGUGGGGAGCAAACAGGAUUAGAUACCCUAGUAGUCC
This 742-nucleotide ribosomal RNA is filed under the name uncultured bacterium. RNAcentral describes it as "bacterial SSU rRNA". It matches the Rfam family "Bacterial small subunit ribosomal RNA", at positions 8 to 796 of the family's 1533-position model. The record is from RNAcentral.